GGAGGGCUUGCAUAGCGGCCUAAUGCACCGGUCUUGAAAACCGGAGUGACGCGAGUCACCGUGGGUUCGAAUCCCACGCCCUCCG
Molecule: transfer RNA, 85 nt
Filed under: Actinocrinis puniceicyclus
Lineage: Bacteria; Bacillati; Actinomycetota; Actinomycetes; Catenulisporales; Actinospicaceae
Description: actinobacterium OB1 tRNA
Rfam family: tRNA
About the family: Transfer RNA (tRNA) molecules are approximately 80 nucleotides in length. Their secondary structure includes four short double-helical elements and three loops (D, anti-codon, and T loops).
Source: Rfam by way of RNAcentral